Molecule: ribosomal RNA, 498 nt
Filed under: uncultured bacterium
Lineage: Bacteria
Description: partial 16S ribosomal RNA
Rfam family: Bacterial small subunit ribosomal RNA
Source: RNAcentral
AUUGAACGCUGGCGGCAUGCCUUACACAUGCAAGUCGAACGGUAACAGGUCUUCGGAUGCUGACGAGUGGCGAACGGGUGAGUAAUACAUCGGAACGUGCCUAGUAGUGGGGGAUAACUACUCGAAAGAGUGGCUAAUACCGCAUGAGAUCUACGGAUGAAAGCAGGGGAUCGCAAGACCUUGUGCUACUAGAGCGGCCGAUGGCAGAUUAGGUAGUUGGUGGGAUAAAAGCUUCCCAAGCCGACGAUCUGUAGCUGGUCUGAGAGGACGAUCAGCUACACUGGGACUGAGACACGGCCCAGACUCCUACGGGAGGCAGCAGUGGGGAAUUUUGGACAAUGGGCGCAAGCCUGAUCCAGCAAUGCCGCGUGCAGGAUGAAGGCCUUCGGGUUGUAAACUGCUUUUGUACGGAACGAAAAGCCCCGGGUUAAUACCCUGGGGUCAUGACGGUACCGUAAGAAUAAGCACCGGCUAACUACGUGCCAGCAGCCGCCGUAA